This 301-nucleotide ribosomal RNA is filed under the name uncultured bacterium. RNAcentral describes it as "partial 16S ribosomal RNA". It matches the Rfam family "Bacterial small subunit ribosomal RNA", at positions 509 to 807 of the family's 1533-position model. The record is from RNAcentral.
CAGCCGCCGCGGUAAUACGGAGGGUGCAAGCGUUAAUCGGAUUUACUGGGCGUAAAGGGUGCGUAGGUGGUUAUUUAAGUGAGAUGUGAAAGCCCCGGGCUUAACCUGGGAACUGCAUUUGUGACUGUAUAGCUAGAGUACGGUAGAGGGGGAUGGAAUUCCGCGUGUAGCAGUGAAAUGCGUAGAUAUGCGGAGGAACACCGAUGGCGAAGGCAAUCCCCUGGACCUGUACUGACGCUCAUGCACGAAAGCGUGGGGAGCAAACAGGAUUAGAUACCCCAGUAGUCCCUGUCUCUUAUAC